RNAcentral lists this long non-coding RNA (1613 nucleotides) under Oryza brachyantha (malo sina). RNAcentral's name for it is "long non-coding RNA (OBRA_LNC000234)". The record is from RNAcentral. Lineage: Eukaryota; Viridiplantae; Streptophyta; Magnoliopsida; Poales; Poaceae.
CCUCCCUAACCCAAUCUGGCCAAUCAUCGCCGCGCUCUGCUGCUUCCUCGUGGAAACACGACGCACACCAGAUCGUACAUGCGAGGAUACUAUACGGAUACCUGUACUUUACCGGGGUUUAAUUUACAGAGACGAACCAGAACCAGUACCGCUCGUGAUCAUACAUACUGUGCGUCUUAUCUCAACAAUAAAUAGAAGAAGAUUGUAUUGUUGGUUAGAAACAAAUCUGGUGCGUUGGAUCUUGAUCUAACGUUGGACGGUACGAGACGAGCAAUUUUAUCGUUCUCUGAUAGAUACCAAAUUUACGUAGAAAAUAAUAUCCGGAUAUAUUUUUAACAGAGACCGUAAAAUUGCUCACGUGAGAUAGCCGUGUCACUUGCUCGCUUUGAUCGAUGAUACUACUCCUAACAAGUCACUCGUAUCUCACAUGGGAUUCACGUACUAGUUCGAUCUAACUACGGCAGUUAAAUUUGUCCAUGUGGAGCUCCUGGGAUAGGGUACAGCCGGUGCAAGUUGGAUCGAAGUGCUCCUUAUUUUUCCCUCCUUGCAAGCUAGGCGUUCAGCCAUGAAUGGUCCAUGUGCCUCACUUGAAAAUAGAAAACAUAGACGAUGGCUUUGUUUGGGUACUUAGUUAAUUAGUAGUUUCGAUCUUAUACUAGUAUAAAUGCUGUCAGUGGCUCAUGCACGGUAUCUCCCUUAAUUUACACAGCUCUAAUUUUUUGAUAUCUCUGCCUGACACAAAUGGUGCUGCACAUUACUUUCGCCAUGGAUAUUAUUGUAAUGCUAGCUGCCAGUAUGAUUAACUGAGUACAGCAAGCACGAAAGAUGCGGGCAUCGAUCGAUCCAUACUAGUACUAGAUUUUUUUUGGCCCGGCUACUGAGAAGUGGUCCCCGUGUUUGUGUGAGAGCUGGAGCUUUUCUUCUUGUUUAUUCUCGCGAAUAGAAAUACGUUCCCACGUGCAGAAAUCUCCGCAUCACUGAUUUGAGAUGUUGAUUAUGAUGUGCUCCAAGACCUGUUUCCUUUUGUCCAAACGGGAGGAGGAAAUUAAAAAGGUAUCUAGAACGCUAUUUUGGCCUCCUUUUCAGGGGGCUCACUAACUCCUGGACCAAUAAUACAAUUUUGGCGCAGCAAGCUUCUUCGAUAUGAAACUGUGUUUUAGCUGGAAACACUAUCCUCAAGAUUAUUUAUUGGCUUUUAUGCUCAUACUUUAUGAACAGUUGAAAAUAUAUUUUUCAAAAAUAUAUGUAGAAAUUAUGUUGUAUAUUUCAUUAAAUAACUAUAAAAAUAAUAUUUAAUCUGAUAAAGAAAACAAAGCUUUUUUUUAGAACAAAAGAAAACAAAGCUAUAGUGAAUUGUGUGUUCAGAUUAAGUGACGCUUCGGCCUUUUUAGCAGUACUACUAACAGCAGUACACGUUCACUGCUAGAUGACGAUCUCACAUUUUCAUAUUUGUUUAUGCUUAGAAAGCUAAAUUUGAAUAUUUAAUCUUAAAUUAAGAGUUAAUUUUGAGAUUUUUUAUUAUAGUUUAUUUUUAACUUUGGGUUUUAGAUAGGUAAGGUUUUAGAUAGGUAAGAACACAUAUUUUUGUUUAAAAAAUAUCGUUUGACUUUUUC